GACCGCUGGCGGCGUGCUUAACACAUGCAAGUCGAACGAGAAAGGGCUCUUCGGAGCCCGAGUAAAGUGGCGCACGGGUGAGUAACGCGUAGAUAACCUGUCCUGGUGUCUGGGAUAACCCACCGAAAGGUGGACUAAUACCGGAUACGCUUGCUGAGCGGAAGCGAUGCAAGGAAAGAUGGCCUCUGAUGUAAGCUAUCGCACCUCGAGGGGUCUGCGUACCAUUAGCUUGUUGGUGGGGUAACGGCCUACCAAGGCAACGAUGGUUAGCGGGUCUGAGAGGAUGAUCAGCCACACUGGAACUGAGACACGGUCCAGACUCCUACGGGAGGCAGCAGUGAGGAAUCUUGCGCAAUGGGGGCAACCCUGACGCAGCAACGCCGCGUGGAGGAAGAAGGUCUUCGGAUUGUAAACUCCUUUUCUGAGGGAAGAAGUAUGACGGUACCUCAGGAAUAAGCCGCCGCUAACUCCGUGCCAGCAGCCCGCGGUAAUACGGGGGGCGCAAGCGUUACUCGGAAUCACUGGGCGUAAAGGGUGCGUAGGCGGUUACCUAAGCUGGGUGUGAAAGCCCACGGCUCAACCGUGGAAUUGCAUUCAGAACUGGGUGACUAGAGUCCGGGAGAGGCAGAUGGAAUUAGUGGUGUAGGGGUAAAAUCCGUAGAGAUCACCUAGGAAUACCUAUUGCGAAGGCGACUGACUGGAACUUAACUGACGCUGAGACGUGAAAGCGUGGGGAGCAAACAGGAUUAGAUACCCUGGUAGUCCACGCCCUAAACGAUGUACACUAGUUGUUGCCAUGCUAGUCAUGGCAGUGAUGCAGCUAACGCAUUAAGUGUACCGCCUGGGGAGUACGGUCGCAAGAUUAAAACUCAAAGGAAUAGACGGGGACCCGCACAAGUGGUGGAGCAUGUGGUUUAAUUCGAAGAUACGCGAAGAACCUUACCUGGGCUUGACAUCCCAAGAAUCGACCAGAGAUGGUUGAGUGCCUGCUUUGCAGGAGCUUGGUGACAGGUGCUGCACGGCUGUCGUCAGCUCGUGUCGUGAGAUGUUGGGUUAAGUCCCGCAACGAGCGCAACCCUCGUCCUUAGUUGCUAGCAGUUUGGCUGAGCACUCUAAGGAGACUGCCUUCGUAAG
This 1134-nucleotide ribosomal RNA is filed under the name uncultured Campylobacterota bacterium. RNAcentral's name for it is "bacterial SSU rRNA". It matches the Rfam family "Bacterial small subunit ribosomal RNA", at positions 31 to 1162 of the family's 1533-position model. Lineage: Bacteria; Pseudomonadati; Campylobacterota. The record is from RNAcentral.